UACGUAGGUGGCAAGCGUUAUCCGGAAUUAUUGGGCGUAAAGCGCGCGUAGGCGGUUUCUUAAGUCUGAUGUGAAAGCCCACGGCUCAACCGUGGAGGGUCAUUGGAAACUGGGAAACUUGAGUGCAGGAGAGGAAAGUGGAAUUCCAUGUGUAGCGGUGAAAUGCGCAGAGAUAUGGAGGAACACCAGUGGCGAAGGCGGCUUUUUGGCCUGCAACUGACACUGAGGCGCGAAAGCGUGGGGAGCAAACAGG
Molecule: ribosomal RNA, 253 nt
Filed under: uncultured bacterium
Lineage: Bacteria
Description: partial 16S ribosomal RNA
Rfam family: Bacterial small subunit ribosomal RNA
Source: RNAcentral